GACGAACGCUGGCGGCGUGCUUAACACAUGCAAGUCGAACGGAAAGGCCCUGCUUUUGUGGGGUGCUCGGGUGGCGAACGGGUGAGUAACACGUGAGUAACCUGCCCUUGACUUUGGGAUAACUUCAGGAAACUGGGGCUAAUACCGGAUAGGAGCUCCUGCUGCAUGGUGGGGGUUGGAAAAUUUCGGCGGUUGGGGAUGGACUCGCGGCUUAUCAGCUUGUUGGUGGGGUAGUGGCUUACCAAGGCUUUGACGGGUAGCCGGCCUGAGAGGGUGACCGGCCACAUUGGGACUGAGAUACGGCCCAGACUCCUACGGGAGGCAGCAGUGGGGAAUAUUGCACAAUGGGCGGAAGCCUGAUGCAGCAACGCCGCGUGCGGGAUGACGGCCUUCGGGUUGUAAACCGCUUUCGCCUGUGACGAAGCGUGAGUGACGGUAAUGGGUAAAGAAGCACCGGCUAACUACGUG
Molecule: ribosomal RNA, 468 nt
Filed under: uncultured bacterium
Lineage: Bacteria
Description: partial 16S ribosomal RNA
Rfam family: Bacterial small subunit ribosomal RNA
Source: RNAcentral